This 270-nucleotide long non-coding RNA is filed under the name Oryza sativa tropical japonica subgroup. RNAcentral's name for it is "lncRNA OsKeNa_04g0007220". Lineage: Eukaryota; Viridiplantae; Streptophyta; Magnoliopsida; Poales; Poaceae. The record is from RNAcentral. RNAcentral also lists the same sequence under 1 other name.
ACACCAUGUGUCCACAACUUCUGCUUGAAAUGUUUCCAAUGGUGGACUCAGAAUGCACCUACUACACUAAAAGUGGCACAAGAACUAAGAAUUGACUCAGCACUAGUCCAAGCUAUCCGUAUGGCCAAGGGUGUAAACAGUGCAAGUUCAGCUGGUGAAAAAUCAGUUUAUCGUUAUAAACAAAACAAAGAUAAGUCUGAUAAAACUUUCUCUACUGAAUGGGAUAAGAGGGCUGGAAUGGCAAUGCUUCUAGUGGACAAAUAUUUGUGA